Molecule: long non-coding RNA, 2115 nt
Filed under: Ananas comosus (pineapple)
Lineage: Eukaryota; Viridiplantae; Streptophyta; Magnoliopsida; Poales; Bromeliaceae
Description: long non-coding RNA (ACOM_LNC033621)
Source: RNAcentral
UAUUGUUACCUUUUUUUUUUAUAUAAGUUGUGAGGACUUUUUUGAUAUUGUUAAGUUUGUAUGAGAAUUAUUAGAAUUUUUAUUUGAUGGUUAAAAUUAGGGUAAACUUCAAGUACCACUCCUAUGGUUUCGUGUUUUCUCGCUUUAGUAUCAUGUGGUUUAAAGUGUAUCAAUUUAGGACCCCGUGGUUUCUUUUUUUUCUUUUUUGUCAGCUCUUCUGUUAACAUUUCGUUAAAUUAUAUACAAAAAACUUCAAACACCUCACCUAGGUUUAUCGAAUAUUCACUUUAGUACCUUUUAGUUUUAAGUUUGUCACUGUUUUAACGAAAAAAAUUAAUGGAGGGGAUAAUAAAAAGAGAAAAUUGAAACCACGGGCACUAAAUUGAUACAUUUUAAACCACAAGAUAUUAAAAUAAAAAAAUACGAAACCAUACGGGUGGUAUUUGAAAUUUUUCCUUAAAUUUAUAUGGAUUAGUUGUUACGAUAUUUUAAGUUGUUAGGAUUAUAUAUAAUUUAUUGAAUCUUUAUAUAUAUGAAAAUAGAAAGAAACAAUAAAUUAUUCACUGUUUUCUACUUUAAAAGAGAAAAAUGUGGAUCAUUUACCGUCUCUAAUGAAAAAGGAAAAGAUGAUGAAUUAUUUAUCGUCUUCUAAAUUUUAUUAAAGACGGUAAAUAAUUGACCUUUUUCAAUUAUUUUUACACCCCGAUAGUGAGUUGAAUAAAAUAGAGUUAUUUGACCAAAUAAAUUUUUUUACAAACUUAUUUGGCCGAUUAUAAAUUUUUAAAGGUUAAAAUGAAAAAAGUCCCCUCUAGUUAUAAAAAUUGUGGUACUUUUAUUUUUAAACUAUUGAUAUAUAAGUAUUGUAAAAGUUUGGUGAUUGGUGAUGAGAUAAUAAUUAUAAUUUCACUUCUAUAUCAACAAUUUGUCAAUAUUUAACUAUCUAAAUUGGGUUGUACGAUUUGAUUGCAACAAUUCAUAAAAUUUGAGCCAGUUAUUUUAAUAAAUCAAAAUUUGAGGACAAAAGUAUCACAUGUCUUAUAAUUUGAGGACCAAAAGUGUAAUUUGUUAGAUUUUAUUGGAUCUUUUGGUGAUUUAAAAUUUGUUAAGUCUCUUGGGCAGCCCAAUACUUGAUGGGCCUUGCUUUGGGCUCUAAGAUUUUCACAUGUAGGGAUUAGUCCCACAUUAGAAACAAAAAGUAUAUUAUUGUUAUUUAUAUACUACUUCAUACUUAAAUUAAUUGCUUAGAAGAAAAUAAGAGUUAUGCUCUCAACUAAGUACACAAACGCACGGCACUAGCACGAACUGAGUCGAGCGGCGGUGCGCCUGGUUCAGGCACUCGGUUUAUUUUAUUUUUAUUUUUUAUUUUUUAUUUUAUCUUUAUUUGUUUGAGAGCCCUAAUCUAUAUCCUAACCUUAUGGAAUUGACACGUUGAAGCAAGAUCUUUAUCUUAAAUAUAUAUUGGAGGACGUUGCAUGAGUUCAACUUGAAUUUAUUUUUUAAUUUUAUCUUUAUUUGUUUGGGAGCCCUAAUCCGUAUCCUAACCCGUAUCCUAAUCUGUAUCCCGUAUAUUACAGAGUCGUAGGCUUAUCUUGGGCUACACGAAAUUGACACGUUGAAACAAAAUUUUUAUCUUGAAUUAUAUAUUGGAGAAGGUUGCAUGGGUUCAACCUAAAUCUGGGCUUACCUGAGACCAAAAACCCUAAUCUCUAUCUCGCAUUCUUCUGUUUUCUCGCCAUUGAUAUUUUGCGCUAAUUUUUACCGAGCUUUCUAAUAUUUUGCUGGAUCUAAAGUUUGUUGGGGUCAUCUUGCGCCACCUUAAAAGCGUGCAGACGGAAUGGAAUGUGAACGUUAUAUCGCUGAAAGUAAAUUAACAUGAAGCGUCGCACAAGGAGGGACAAUUUCACUUCUAGGACAGUACUGCUCUGCAUGUCUCGAUUCACAGGGCUUUUCUAAUCCAUUUCCCUACAAUAUUUACUAUUUAUUUUUUUUUCAAAAUUUUUAAAAAUUGAAAUCAAACUUUAAAAUUAUUUUUUUAAAAAAAUUUAAUAUAAGAUCAGAAAGACUUUCCAACAUAAUUUACCCUCACAAAUAUUUAAACAAUUCUUUUUUUUUUUU